RNAcentral lists this long non-coding RNA (278 nucleotides) under Manihot esculenta (cassava). RNAcentral describes it as "long non-coding RNA (MESC_LNC006997)". Lineage: Eukaryota; Viridiplantae; Streptophyta; Magnoliopsida; Malpighiales; Euphorbiaceae. The record is from RNAcentral.
UCUAUUGUCUUUCCUCUUGUCAGAUUACAUAGCGGAAUUUUAGCUUUUUUGGUUUGGACUUUUUGACAAUCCGGCUUGUUGUUUGUACUGAAAUCCGAGUUGAAGCAGUUGGCCAGGCUUGCCGAUGAGCGCUCCGAAAUUGAGGCCUGUUUCGAGGUCUGUUCUGUCUCUGUGGGUCUCGACCCGAUCUAGAAGGAGUGCGAAGCCUGACAGUUAUCUGUAUGGAAAUACUAAUAUAAUCUAGUAGGUAGAUUUAGUUUAAGUAAAAUUUUCUGAUU